UACGGAGGGAGCUAGCGUUAUUCGGAAUUACUGGGCGUAAAGCGCACGUAGGCGGCUUUGUAAGUUAGAGGUGAAAGCCCUGGUGCUCAACACCAGAACUGCCUUUGAUACUGCAUCGCUUGAAUCCAGGAGAGGUGAGUGGAAUUCCGAGUGUAGAGGUGAAAUUCGUAGAUAUUCGGAAGAACACCAGUGGCGAAGCGGCUCACUGGACUGGUAUUGACGCUGAGGUGCGAAAGCGUGGGGAGCAA
RNAcentral lists this ribosomal RNA (248 nucleotides) under uncultured bacterium. RNAcentral describes it as "partial 16S ribosomal RNA". It matches the Rfam family "Bacterial small subunit ribosomal RNA", at positions 524 to 771 of the family's 1533-position model. The record is from RNAcentral.